CUCCUCUACAGAUGUCUUCGACGGCGUUCGCAUUCCCUGUGAGGAAGGUAUUGAUACCCUUGCAGCUGUUGCUUGGGUUCACUUGUGUGGGUGGUUUCACGAUUUUUCUAUCUUUUAUAACCUGGGUACAUUGGACAACAGUCAUCCCAUCGUUGAUAUGCUUAUGCUCAAACUUAGCCCAACUUUGUCCGUCCACAGAGAUCACGGCAGCAGAGAUCAGCAGAACACCAGCAAAGAUAGAGAUCUUCAUGUUGAUCUGGAGAAU
Long non-coding RNA from Sander lucioperca (pikeperch), 265 nucleotides. RefSeq lists it as uncharacterized. Lineage: Eukaryota; Metazoa; Chordata; Actinopteri; Perciformes; Percidae. The transcript is spliced from 2 exons. The record is from RefSeq and is a predicted model, not a curated record.